GAAGGGUGGGGAAAGAUAAGCAAGGAGCACAACACAGUGCAGUGUUUCCGGCCAGCGCAUCCCUGAAGCAGUGUCAGUGGAAAGCGGUUUUUAAUAACCAGUCUGCCCAUUCAUUUCACUGUGUUUACCAGUCUGCCCAUUCAUUUCACUGUGUUUACCAGUCUGCCCAUUCAUUUCACUGUGUUUGUUGCUGGUUUCUCGAGCUCAGUUGAAGAUGGUGUUGUUGACGAUGAUUGCCCGGGUCGCGGAUGCACUCCCGCUCGCCGCAUCCAUGCAGGAGGACGAACAGUCUGGGCGGGACCUGCAGCAGUAUCAAAGCCAGGCCAAGCAGCUCUUCAGGAAGCUGAAUGAACAGUCCCCUCCGCGAUGCACCCUGGAGGCAGGGGCCAUGUCUUUCCACUACGUCAUCGAGAAGGGGGUGUGCUACCUGGUCCUGUGUGAGGCGGGGUUCCCCAAGAAGCUGGCGUUUGCCUACCUGGAAGAUUUACAAUCGGAGUUCGAUGAGCAGCAUGGGAAGAGAGUGCCCACGGUAUCCAGACCGUACUCCUUUAUUGAGUUUGACACGUACAUUCAGAAGACCAAGAAGUCGUACAUUGACAGCAGAGCCCGACGCAACCUGGGGAACAUCAACACAGAGCUGCAGGAUGUGCAGAGAAUCAUGGUAGCCAACAUUGAGGAGGUGCUGCAGAGAGGAGAGGCGCUGUCAGCUUUGGACUCCAAGGCCAGCAACCUGUCAAGCCUGUCGAAGAAAUACCGGAGUGACGCCAAGUACCUGAACACGCGCUCCACGUACGCCAAGCUGGCUGCCGUGGGAGUGUUCCUCGUCAUGCUGAUCGUCUAUGUGAGGUUCUGGUGGCUCUGAGGGGCCGCGGGGACCCGCUGAUCCCACUCCUUUAUACCCGGGCUGGAAUUACUUCCAAAAAUCUUUACACGUUCUGUGGUGUGUUUUAUUAAACCGCUGCACGUCCCAUUCUCUUUCUGUUUAGUAAGAAAUAAGACUCCCAUUGCAUAGCACCACGAGUCCACGCCUGGUUUUGCUAGGAGAGUAACAUCACACUGACUAAUCAAGCUCGUAAUAAAACCUGGAAUGUGUGUGACAGUUUGUGUUAAUUACAGCGAACCCCAGUAUUCACUGGUCUUUGGAAACACGCUGUUUCGUGGAACGGCCCGUUUGUUUGUCCAGCAGAAACGAAAGGAAAUGGGAUGAAACGAGUUCAAAUGAAACCCUGUUGGGAGUGUUUCUUGGGCGUUGUCAUCACUGCCUCGAUGCUGGUCUCUGCUCUGUUGUGUAAAUGAAUGGUUUUGCAUCUCAAGCGGUAGAUUUCAAAGGGCAUGUUUAUUCCCUAUGUCAGCUUGCACUGUGUUAUCUGAUGCUGGCUUUACCCUCCAUACCGGCAGCUCUGGAUUCUCUUAGCAGUAAUAUUAUUUUCAGCCAACUUCUAUUUUGUUACCCAUCUCUUUGUGUUUCAGUGUACUGUACUCUGAUGUGGGGGUGCUGGCUGGGUGGUCAGUGUAUUGUACUCUGAUGUGAGGGUGCUGGCUGGGUGGUCAGUGUACUGUACUCUGAUGUGAGGGUGCUGGCUGGGUGGUCAGUGUACUGUACUCUGAUGUGAGGGUGCUGGCUGGGUGGUCAGUGUACUGUACUCUGAUGUGAGGGUGCUGGCUGGGUGGUCAGUGUACUGUACUCAUGUGAGGGUGCUGGCUGGGUGGUCAGUGUAUUGUACUCUGAUGUGAGGGUCGUGGCUGGGUGGUCAGUGUACUGUACUCUGAUGUGGGGGUGGUGGCUGGGUGGUCAGUGUACUGUACUCUGAUGUGGGGGUGGUGGCUGGGUGGUCAGUGUACUGUACUCUGAUUUGGGGGUGGUGGCUGGGUGGUCAGUGUACUGUACUCUGAUGAGAGGGUGCUGGCUGGGUGGUCAGUGUAUUGUACUCUGAUGUGAGGGUGGUGGCUGGGUGGUCAGUGUACUGUACUCUGAUGUGAGGGUGCUGGCUGGGUGGUCAGUGUACUGUACUCUGAUGUGAGGGUCGUGGCUGGGUGGUCAGUGUACUGUACUCUGAUGUGAGGGUGGUCAGUGUACUGUACUCUGAUGUGAGGGUCGUGGCUGGGUGGUCAGUGUACUGUACUCUGAUGUGAGGGUGGUGGCUGGGUGGUCAGUGUACUGUACUCUGAUGUGAGGGUGGUGGCUGGGUGGUCAGUGUACUGUACUCUGAUGUGAGGGUCGUGGCUGGGUGGUCAGUGUACUGUACUCUGAUGUGAGGGUGGUGGCUGGGUGGUCAGUGUACUGUACUCUGAUGUGGGGGUGCUGGCUGGGUGGUGAGUGUACUGUACUCUGAUGUGAGGGUCGUGGCUGGGUGGUCAGUGUACUGUACUCUGAUGUGAGGGUCGUGGCUGGGUGGUGAGUGUACUGUACUCUGAUGUGAGGGUGGUGGCUGGGUGGUCAGUGUACUGUACUCUGAUGUGAGGGUGCUGGCUGGGUGGUCAGUGUACUGUACUCUGAUGUGAGGGUGCUGGCUGGGUGGUCAGUGUACUGUACUCUGAUGAGAGGGUGCUGGCUGGGUGGUCAGUGUACUGUACUCUGAUGUGAGGGUGGUGGCUGGGUGGUCAGUGUACUGUACUCUGAUGUGAGGGUGCUGGCUGGGUGGUCAGUGUACUGUACUCUGAUGUGAGGGUGGUGGCUGGGUGGUCAGUGUACUGUACUCUGAUGUGAGGGUCGUGGCUGGGUGGUCAGUGUACUGUACUCUGAUGUGAGGGUCGUGGCUGGGUGGUCAGUGUACUGUACUCUGAUGUGAGGGUGGUGGCUGGGUGGUCAGUGUACUGUACUCUGAUGUGAGGGUGGUGGCUGGGUGGUCAGUGUACUGUACGAACUGGGAAUGACAAAGCAAUAGUAAUUUAUUUAUUUUUUCCUUUUUAAAUAUCCUUAAUGACUGGGUGGAGAGUUUUAUUAAUCUCAUUAAUGAAUGUUAUUUCAUAGUGUGGUCUUUAUACUAGCAGGCAACUGUAUAUUGUAUAUUUCCAAGCAAUUCAACUUAAGUAUGCACCUGAUUAAAUUAAAUUGCACAACAGCGGAACAGUAAGUAAUGGUUUUUUUUUUAUUAAAAUAACAUUGUUUAUUGCUUUCGCUGCAGUUUCUCAAGCCUGUUUCCUGAAGGUUUAGGGUGUUGGAACCAGAUCUUAAUAAAUGCUGCUCUGGUGGUCUGGUGAUCCAGUAUUGCUUCACAUUGUCUGCAGGCUGCUGCUGCUUGCCCUGCACUCCACAGCACAAGGAAUGCAAGUUGAGUAAAACACGGCACAGGACAGGAAACGUCAGUAAAUAACAAUCGUAAAUCAGAAUAAAGCAGUCUGUAUUUCUAUAUAAAAAGUACACAUUAGACUGCACUGCUAUAAAUACAUUGCAGGUGUUUUCACCAAUGACAGUGGAGUUGUGCCGUUUGCAGUGCGAUGAGUAAUAAUAAAGCAGCUGUGGCUCUGGAGGAAUGCGUCUCUCUUGCAAUCAGUGUGGCCACGACUCCUCACAGCUCAAUGAAAAGGGUUUCAUUAACUGCAGCCUGGGACCCUCCUACACAACCAGGUCAAAAUCAUCCCUCUGAAAACGAGAGGAGAAGAGCGAGUUACGAGAGAGAGAGACACACACACACACACACACGGGAGGGGGACACUGUAGAGGAGACACAAGGACGGUGGCUGCGACUUGCAGUAAAUCUCCCUCACACACACACACACCCUCGUGAAACAGUGUGCGGACUGGACUGCGUGCCGUUGGCAGGACUCACCUCGUCACAAGGAAGGCAGGGUCUGUGAUGAUCUCAGGACCGACGCGCACAUCUGAAGCAGAGAGUUAAGGGACUGACAACUCCAUCAUCAUCAUCAUCAUGUCAACAAUAAAAGCAGAUUCACAUGUUUGAAUUCACCCCAAAACUUCUUUGGAAAUCAUUUUAAAAAUUGGCAGGCAGGUUUAAAAAGAAUUCCAGCAGCUGCUAGCUGGUUUAACAGAACUGUGCAGACUGUAGCUUCAGCGCGAUGCGAUCCACACACACACACAGAAGUGGAGGAAGUGCAAGUCACAGCAGAAAUGACAUUAAAAGAGGGGAAUGUGGAAUCCUGCGAGACGUGACGGCAGGGACUGGUGGGUGCCUGGUCACCAGUCCAGAGGGCAGAGAGGCCACGGUGUUUCUGAGCUCAGCACAGUCUGACUGGGGGGAGUCUCCAGUACAAUUCAAGGCUGGCAGAGUGCUGUCCGUGGGCAGCGGAUGAAGGUACAGGAUCAUUAAUCUGGGUUUUGAAAUAACCCACAAUGAUACAGAGGACUUUUCAUAAUACUUUGAGGCCAACUUUCCAAGCGUGACCUUUUCUGCAAUUUGGAAACUAUGAAAAAUGUUCACAAAGACAAUGCAAAAAAAAACACACACACACACACACACACACACACACACACACACACACACACACACACACACACACACACACACACA
This is an RNA transcript of Acipenser ruthenus (sterlet), 4469 nucleotides long. It is a transcript of the gene named vesicle-trafficking protein SEC22b-B, with no coding region annotated. The record is from RefSeq and is a predicted model, not a curated record. NCBI's taxonomy places the organism in Eukaryota, Metazoa, Chordata, Actinopteri, Acipenseriformes, Acipenseridae. The transcript has 6 exons.